GCCUUCAAAUGAAUAUGAAGCAGGCUGCAAACCUUCUCUGGGUUAAUCAAGUUUAAAUAUUAUUAUGUUGUGAUGUGAAUCUUAAUCUCUCUGUAUAACUCGUCCAGAGCUGCCUGCACCCCCCAUCAGUCCCUUUCAGGGGAUUAGAUCUGAGGUGAAUGUCUCGUAGGAAAACAGCAUGCAGAGCUAUGCAUGUUGCAGGGGAGCAGAUCGUCAGGACAAUCUGAUUAACUGUGUGAAAACGUUCCUCAUCUGCCACCACUUGAAACCUCCAAACAAAGCCCAAGAGAGGAGAUGAGAGGAUUAGGGUGGAGAUGAUUCCUCACGUAUGUCCAACAUCUGCCAACAUGUCACAGCAACACACAGCAGGGUGCGGCUCCACUCAACUCCACUCAAGUCGUUACCCGCCGAUUCUAGACUCAGUGCGAGGCUGCAGCGAGUUCCUGUGAUGGUCAGCUGACAAUCCCGCUUACGCUGAGGGGUACGAUGCAAAGUGGAAAAUGAAAACGAGAAAAGUACUGGUGCGAGGAGGUGAGUCAAACCCUGACGGACGGACGGACGGACGGACAGCUGGACAGCUGCACAGCUGGGCCGAACUCCCGGGGUUUCAACAAUGCACACC
Long non-coding RNA from Cottoperca gobio, 622 nucleotides. RefSeq lists it as uncharacterized. The transcript is spliced from 3 exons. The record is from RefSeq and is a predicted model, not a curated record. NCBI's taxonomy places the organism in Eukaryota, Metazoa, Chordata, Actinopteri, Perciformes, Bovichtidae.